UACAGAGGGUGCAAGCGUUGUCCGGAAUCAUUGGGCGUAAAGCGCGUGUAGGCGGCUCGGUAAGUCUGCUGUGAAAGUCCAGGGCUCAACCCUGGGAUGCCGGUGGAUACUGUCGAGCUCGAGUCCGGAAGAGGCGAGUGGAAUUCCUGGUGUAGCGGUGAAAUGCGCAGAUAUCAGGAGGAACACCAAUGGCGAAGGCAGCUCGCUGGGACGUGACUGACGCUGAGACGCGAAAGCGUGGGGAGCAAACAGG
Molecule: ribosomal RNA, 253 nt
Filed under: uncultured bacterium
Lineage: Bacteria
Description: partial 16S ribosomal RNA
Rfam family: Bacterial small subunit ribosomal RNA
Source: RNAcentral